UACAGAGGGUGCGAGCGUUAAUCGGAAUUACUGGGCGUAAAGCGUGCGUAGACGGUUAUUUAAGUCGGGUGUGAAAGCCCCGGGCUCAACCUGGGAAUUGCAUUCGAGACUGAAUAGCUAGAGUACGGUAGAGGGAAGCUGAAUUUCCGGUGUAGCGGUGAAAUGCGUAGAUAUCGGAAGGAACAUCAGUGGCGAAAGCGGCUUCCUGGACCAGUACCGACGUUCAGGCACGAAAGCGUGGGGAGCAAACAGG
RNAcentral lists this ribosomal RNA (253 nucleotides) under uncultured bacterium. Its description in RNAcentral is "partial 16S ribosomal RNA". It matches the Rfam family "Bacterial small subunit ribosomal RNA", at positions 524 to 776 of the family's 1533-position model. The record is from RNAcentral.